AUUGAACGCUGGCGGCAUGCUUUACACAUGCAAGUCGAACGGUAACAGGCCGCAAGGUGCUGACGAGUGGCGAACGGGUGAGUAAUGCAUCGGAACGUGCCCAGUCGUGGGGGAUAACUACUCGAAAGAGUAGCUAAUACCGCAUACGAUCUAUGGAUGAAGGCGGGGGACCGUAAGGCCUCGCGCGAUUGGAGCGGCCGAUGUCAGAUUAGGUAGUUGGUGGGGUAAAGGCUCACCAAGCCAACGAUCUGUAGCUGGUCUGAGAGGACGACCAGCCACACUGGGACUGAGACACGGCCCAGACUCCCACGGGAGGCAGCAGUGGGGAAUUUUGGACAAUGGGCGCAAGCCUGAUCCAGCAAUGCCGCGUGCAGGAAGAAGGCCUUCGGGUUGUAAGCUGCUUUUGUACGGAACGAAACGGCUCUGGUUAAUACCCGGGGCUAAUGACGGUACCGUAAGAAUAAGCACCGGCUAACUACGUG
This 482-nucleotide ribosomal RNA is filed under the name uncultured bacterium. RNAcentral describes it as "partial 16S ribosomal RNA". It matches the Rfam family "Bacterial small subunit ribosomal RNA", at positions 30 to 507 of the family's 1533-position model. The record is from RNAcentral.